RNAcentral lists this ribosomal RNA (451 nucleotides) under uncultured bacterium. RNAcentral's name for it is "partial 16S ribosomal RNA". It matches the Rfam family "Bacterial small subunit ribosomal RNA", at positions 354 to 796 of the family's 1533-position model. The record is from RNAcentral.
GUGGGGAAUAUUGGACAAUGGGGGGAACCCUGAUCCAGCCAUGCCGCGUGUGUGAAGAAGGCCUUUUGGUUGUAAGGCACUUUAAGCGAGGAGGAGGCUACCGAGAUUAAUACUCUUGGAUAGUGGACGUUACUCGCAGAAUAAGCACCGGCUAACUCUGUGCCAGCAGCCGCGGUAAUACAGAGGGUGCAAGCGUUAAUCGGAUUUACUGUGCGUAAAGCGCGCGUAGGUGGCCAAUUAAGUCAAAUGUGAAAUCCCCGAGCUUAACUUGGGAAUUGCAUUCGAUACUGGUUGGCUAGAGUAUGGGAGAGGAUGGUAGAAUUCCAGGUGUAGCGGUGAAAUGCGUAGAGAUCUGGAGGAAUACCGAUGGCGAAGGCAGCCAUCUGGCCUAAUACUGACACUGAGGUGCGAAAGCAUGGGGAGCAAACAGGAUUAGAUACCCGGGUAGUCC